CCUACGGGAGGCAGCAGUGAGGAAUAUUGGUCAAUGGCCGGAAGGCUGAACCAGCCAUGCCGCGUGAAGGUCAGUGCCCUAUGGGCGUUAAACUUCUUUUGUGCGGGAGCAAUAAUGGUCACGUGUGGCCAGACGAGAGUACCGUACGAAUAAGCAUCGGCUAACUCCGUGCCAGCAGCCGCGGUAAUACGGGGGAUGCAAGCGUUAUCCGGAGUUAUUGGGUUUCAAGGGUGCGUAGGCUGUGAGGUAAGUCAGCGGUGAAAUGCCCCGGCUCAACGGGGUGAAGUGCCAUUGAUACUGGCUUGCUGGAAUGCGGAUGCAGUGGGAGGAAUGUGUGGUGUAGCGGUGAAAUGCAUAGAUAUCACACAGAACACCGAUUGCGAAGGCAGCUCACGAAUCCGCGAUUGACGCUGAUGCACGAAAGCGUGGGUAUCAAACAGGAUUAGAUACCCGUGUAGUC
Molecule: ribosomal RNA, 460 nt
Filed under: uncultured bacterium
Lineage: Bacteria
Description: partial 16S ribosomal RNA
Rfam family: Bacterial small subunit ribosomal RNA
Source: RNAcentral